RNAcentral lists this transfer RNA (72 nucleotides) under Camelus bactrianus (Bactrian camel). It matches the Rfam family "tRNA". From Rfam's summary of the family: Transfer RNA (tRNA) molecules are approximately 80 nucleotides in length. The record is from Rfam by way of RNAcentral. Lineage: Eukaryota; Metazoa; Chordata; Mammalia; Artiodactyla; Camelidae. RNAcentral also lists the same sequence under 2 other names.
GAGGGCAUAGCUCAGUGGUAGAGCACAUGCUUAGCAUGCACAAGGUCCUGGGUUCAAUCCCCAGUACCUCCA